UGAGGUAAGUUCCCGUCGGAGAAUUUAUUUAUUUUUCGUGAUUGAUAUUUUUCGUAUUCCAGUACGUGGUAUUUUAUGUGAUCGUUUCUUUCAGAGAUUCCCUAAAUCCUAAUCGGAUGAGGGUGGGUUGCUGAAAACUGCGAGUGAAGCUUAAAUUAGCGAACAGUUUUCAUGCGGGAUUUCAUAUUUUACACUAUUUUUAUAGACAUUUUAGAUAUUUCAAUAUUUCAUAUUGAUUUCUCAUCAUUUGGUAUAAAUUAUUUCUCCUUUCUAAACUGCUGAUCUCUUCGCAUUUCCUCCUUGUCAUCAAACCUCUGUCUCUGCAAGAGUUUGAACGCUUUCCUGUCGAGGGGACACAAGAGCUUCAUCUGGCACUGCGCGCUUGAGGCCGUGGAGGACGCUGCUUGUAACCUAAAAGUGUGUGAGACCCGUUGGACCCCGGAAGAAGAGAGGAACGUUCAGGGUAACGGCUUAUAACCGCAUGGCUUCCAAGGUACCCACUUUUCCAUCCUUCAAGUAGGAGUCUUUCCGACCUGACUUCGCGCAGUUAUCUUAACUAGUAGAGUCUUUUAAUAUUUAGGCUGAGUUUUAAGAAAUUUGUAGUGGCAAUAAUAUUCACCAAACCGAACCUAAUUAACGACCCUGAAUCCCUUGAGAUUGGCACUAUUACAGUAGUUAUUAUAAGAUCGUAAUUGUUAACUUUAUACGAGCAUACGAGAUAAAAAUAAAUUGUGUCAAUUGAGA
Ostrinia furnacalis (Asian corn borer) is the source of this 744-nucleotide long non-coding RNA. RefSeq lists it as uncharacterized. The record is from RefSeq and is a predicted model, not a curated record. The transcript is spliced from 2 exons. Lineage: Eukaryota; Metazoa; Arthropoda; Insecta; Lepidoptera; Crambidae.